RNAcentral lists this long non-coding RNA (969 nucleotides) under Mus musculus (house mouse). Its description in RNAcentral is "predicted gene 9955". The record is from RNAcentral. Lineage: Eukaryota; Metazoa; Chordata; Mammalia; Rodentia; Muridae.
GACCUUCGCGACCGCUGCAGGGACAGGGAAUGCGAGAGUCGUUUGCGCAGCGUCGGUAGCCCUGAGCCUGGCAGCAAUCAACGCGCAGAAACGCCCCUGCGCAGAGCUCCCUGCACGUGUGCCUGCUGCCCAGGUUCCAGAUGCACCAGCCUUGGAGCGCUGGCACUAGACUGGGGACAAGGCAGUCCUCUGACUACGUUACCCCUGGGACAGGGAACAGCACAACCCUUCCCAGAUGAAAGAGACAGAGCUGGUCUCCCUGCGGCUCGGCACCCAGACCAGGGAGCAAGGCUCUCUGCAGGCCUGUGACUGGGAGAUAGCGAUCCGAAGCCCCGGCAAGGACUCUAGGGAGGUUUGCGCCGGUGAGAAAAGAAGCUAAGUAGGAGAAUAGGGGGCCUAGGAAUCCCAGCAGCAUUUCUUGCGCCCAAGGGCUCCUGCAUUGAGAAUUGGUAGACUGCAAGGAGAGUCUCCACGACCCCAAGACCGGACCGGGACAGCUGCCUGAGAGUUACAGUUGAACCUGUCCAUCAUCACCAACCCUCUCCUCAGUACUAGGUCUCCGGAAGUUCUAACUUGACCUUCUGCGACAGAGGAAGAAGGGUGCUUCUGAUCAGAUCCCGGAAUGGUGAAGAUGCUGAGAAGAACCGAGGUGGAGGUUGGGGUCUCCCUCACAAGAGGGACUUAGCAUGUAGCUUGACAGCCUGCCUUCUUCCUCCAGGCUGGAGUGGCAAUACCACGCAGGAUUUGCCGAUUCUCCUUGCUGCUCACAGGCGACCCCUUACGUUUCCAAAGAGAACUCACCACCUUUUCCAUUCCCAGGCCACAUUACUGAAGAUACCUAAUCCCUCUCGGUCACCCUAAUCAAUAAUCAAUAUCCAAUCGUUCUUCACACCCAAAAUGGCUCCGUAUUGCGUCCCUCCCCCUUUUCUCUGGUUUCAAGAGAAAAUAAACCCUUGCUCUUCACUUAGC